UUUGACAAAUAAAUAUUCUCGAAAGGGUUUCCAAAAAAAAAAAAAACUCAGAAAGCAUUAGGUCAUUUGUUUUUUUCUUCGGCGAUUGAAAGGCGGCGUCUUCGUAGUUUGAGAAAGAUUUCUCCUCCACCAUGAGAGCCAAGUGGAAGAAGAAGCGUAUGAGGAGGUUGAAGAGGAAGCGCCGAAAGAUGAGGCAGAGAUCUAAGUAGUUUUAUCCCAUUUAUGGCCGCUUUCAUGCGAGGGAUUUCUAGGGUUUCAAGAUGUUAAUUUUCUUUCAGCGAAUUUUAAUUUGCAAUGCUACUUUGUUACCUACAGGAAACGAUGGGAUUUUGUUGGAUGAUUGUUUUAAAUGACGAUUUUGAAUUUUUUUUCUUUA
Molecule: long non-coding RNA, 376 nt
Organism: Salvia miltiorrhiza (redroot sage)
Lineage: Eukaryota; Viridiplantae; Streptophyta; Magnoliopsida; Lamiales; Lamiaceae
Exons: 2
Source: RefSeq, a predicted model, not a curated record